RNAcentral lists this unclassified non-coding RNA (308 nucleotides) under Haliotis rubra (blacklip abalone). Its description in RNAcentral is "vacuolar protein 8-like, transcript variant X4". The record is from RNAcentral. Lineage: Eukaryota; Metazoa; Mollusca; Gastropoda; Lepetellida; Haliotidae.
ACGUGUAUCACAUACUGCAUACAGACCAACGUGUAUCACAUACUGCAUACGGACCAACAUCUGUCACUUACAUCAUAGUCCAGCAUGUGUCACAUACUGCAUACAGACCAACAUGUCUCACUUACAUCAUAGUCCAGCAUGUGUCACAUACUGCAUACAGACCAACAUGUGUCACAUACUGCAUACAGACAAACAUGUGUCACAUACUGCAUACAGACCAACAUGUGUCACUUACUGCAUACAGACCAACAUGUGUCACAUACUGCAUACAGACCAACAUGUGUCACAUACUGCAUACAGACCAACAU